Molecule: transfer RNA, 73 nt
Filed under: Devosia sp. Root413D1
Lineage: Bacteria; Pseudomonadati; Pseudomonadota; Alphaproteobacteria; Hyphomicrobiales; Devosiaceae
Rfam family: tRNA
About the family: Transfer RNA (tRNA) molecules are approximately 80 nucleotides in length. Their secondary structure includes four short double-helical elements and three loops (D, anti-codon, and T loops). Further hydrogen bonds mediate the characteristic L-shaped molecular structure. tRNAs have two regions of fundamental functional importance: the anti-codon, which is responsible for specific mRNA codon recognition, and the 3' end, to which the tRNAs corresponding amino acid is attached (by aminoacyl-tRNA synthetases). tRNAs cope with the degeneracy of the genetic code in two manners: having more than one tRNA (with a specific anti-codon) for a particular amino acid; and 'wobble' base-pairing, i.e. permitting non-standard base-pairing at the 3rd anti-codon position.
Source: Rfam by way of RNAcentral
GCCGGCAUAGCUCAGUUGGUAGAGCAACUGAUUUGUAAUCAGUGGGUCGCGAGUUCGAUUCUUGCUGCCGGCA